GCCUGCUCUGCUGUGACAGGGCAUUGCGCACACCUGAGAGUCCUGGCAUCCUGCUGCCCUGUACAUCUGUACAGCAUUGUUGCAGGCAAAGCCAGAGUCCUCAGGUUUUUCCAAAAAGAUUUCUCUGUGGAAAAAGACAUGUUCUGGGACACACAAAUUCAGGAGUCCUAUACUCUGUGUGGCAUUUCUUCCUAAUCUGCAAGGAAGCCAGUUGGAUUUGCAUGAAUUUGGAGAGAUCUGAUGGAGAAUCAAACUCAACUGUUCUGAGUUCAUCUACACUGGCAUUUUAAGGCCGCUUCCUGCUCUCUCUACCUCAUAUAUGUAGAGUCUGAUCCAAAGGCCUGAAAGACAGAAGCAAGGGGAAAAACCAUAGGGAGUCAGUAGAGCAUCUGGGAGUCAACCCUAGAAAGACCAAAGUACCCAGCUUCAGCAUUGCCAGAGUAGAGACCAUGAAUAAAAGGGAAAUUCCACACUUUGUAAAAAAUCUGGCCUCUAAACAAAG
Long non-coding RNA from Ficedula albicollis (Collared flycatcher), 502 nucleotides. RefSeq lists it as uncharacterized. Lineage: Eukaryota; Metazoa; Chordata; Aves; Passeriformes; Muscicapidae. The record is from RefSeq and is a predicted model, not a curated record. The transcript is spliced from 4 exons.